Molecule: long non-coding RNA, 207 nt
Filed under: Elaeis guineensis (African oil palm)
Lineage: Eukaryota; Viridiplantae; Streptophyta; Magnoliopsida; Arecales; Arecaceae
Description: long non-coding RNA (EGUI_LNC002266)
Source: RNAcentral
AGCGAUUUCUCUAUGCUUAGUCUAGAGGAAUCUCUUCUUUUAUGAGACUUAUACUUUCCGUAAAAGUCUUUAAGCUACCUUAGACUCCUUCUUUAUUGCUCUCAAAGUUGCCAUUUAUAGAAUAUUGACCUUAAUCAAGGAUGUUACAUUCAAAAGACUGACCCCUUUAGACCUAGCUCCUCGUCAAUAUUGGGAAGUAAACUAGCC